GUCGAGCGGUAGCACAGGGGAGCUUGCUCCCUGGGUGACGAGCGGCGGACGGGUGAGUAAUGUCUGGGAAACUGCCUGAUGGAGGGGGAUAACUACUGGAAACGGUAGCUAAUACCGCAUAACGUCGCAAGACCAAAGAGGGGGACCUUCGGGCCUCUUGCCAUCAGAUGUGCCCAGAUGGGAUUAGCUAGUAGGUGGGGUAAUGGCUCACCUAGGCGACGAUCCCUAGCUGGUCUGAGAGGAUGACCAGCCACACUGGAACUGAGACACGGACCAGACUCCUACGGGAGGCAGCAGUGGGGAAUAUUGCACAAUGGGCGCAAGCCUGAUGCAGCCAUGCCGCGUGUGUGAAGAAGGCCUUCGGGUUGUAAAGCACUUUCAGCGAGGAGGAAGGUGGUGAGCUUAAUACGCUCAACAAUUGACGUUACUCGCAGAAGAAGCACCGGCUAACUCCGUGCCAGCAGCCGCGGUAAUACGGAGGGUGCAAGCGUUAAUCGGAAUUACUGGGCGUAAAGCGCACGCAGGCGGUUUGUUAAGUCAGAUGUGAAUCCCCGGGCUCAACCUGGGAACUGCAUUUGAAACUGGCAAGCUAGAGUCUCGUAGAGGGGGGUAGAAUUCCAGGUGUAGCGGUGAAAUGCGUAGAGAUCUGGAGGAAUACCGGUGGCG
Molecule: ribosomal RNA, 666 nt
Filed under: uncultured Enterobacterales bacterium
Lineage: Bacteria; Pseudomonadati; Pseudomonadota; Gammaproteobacteria; Enterobacterales
Description: bacterial SSU rRNA
Rfam family: Bacterial small subunit ribosomal RNA
Source: RNAcentral